GACACCGUAGCCAAGUGGUUACGGCGACAGAUUCGAAUUUCUUUGUGGAUGAGUAGAUAUCUGUUACUCUAUGAGUGCGUAGGUUCGAGUCCUACCGGUGUCG
This is a transfer RNA of Daedalea quercina L-15889, 103 nucleotides long. It matches the Rfam family "tRNA". Rfam says of the family: Transfer RNA (tRNA) molecules are approximately 80 nucleotides in length. Their secondary structure includes four short double-helical elements and three loops (D, anti-codon, and T loops). NCBI's taxonomy places the organism in Eukaryota, Fungi, Basidiomycota, Agaricomycetes, Polyporales, Fomitopsidaceae. The record is from Rfam.